This 2376-nucleotide unclassified non-coding RNA is filed under the name Hevea brasiliensis (rubber tree). Lineage: Eukaryota; Viridiplantae; Streptophyta; Magnoliopsida; Malpighiales; Euphorbiaceae. The record is from RNAcentral.
CUCUCUCUCUCUCUCUCUCUAGUCAUCUAUCUGUGUAGAAUAGAUAGCCCACAUGCCUCCUCUUCUCUUGGUUUCUCCUUUUUGAGGUCUUCAAAUAAACAAGUUUUUUAAGCACUCUUUCAAGCUUUGAUUCUGUUGCAAAAAGCCUUGAGGACCGCCUUGCCUUUUGAUAACACUCCAUAAAUCUCUCUCUCUCUGUCUUUCUCUCCUUCUCCCUUUCUUCUUUUGCUACAUAAGUUGUGAAGCAGUUUUUAUUAUAUAUGACUGCAUAUCCUUGGUAGACACUGGCUUUAGCAGCCAUUGUGAUUGUUGAUAUUUUGCAUUUGUAUCUUUUAUUAAAUUUGGUAUACGUGACUCAAUUAUAACUCGAUUGAUAGUUCCAGUGUCUACCAUUUAUAAUUCCAUGACAACUUGUGAACUUUGCUGUCUGUUCUGCUUUGCUUUAUUUUCUGCUGCUAUAAAUCCAGUAAUUAUCUUUCUAUUUUACUGUAUCUAGCUUCAGUUAUAGAUUGAUCAAUCAUACAUCAUCUUUUCGUGUAGUUUGCUCUAGGUACAAAUUGGGUGUUUCUACAGCUAUGAGUGUGAGAUGGCCAAGGUUUCUAACACCAACACAUCUCUCUCAGAUCAUAAGAAACCAAAGAAAUCCAUUAACAGCUCUGCAGAUUUUUAAGGAAGCAAAAGUUAAAUACCCCAACUAUGGUCACAAUGGUCCAGUGUAUGCCACCAUGAUUGGAAUCCUUAGCAGCUCAGGUCGAAUCACUGAGAUGAAGGAGGUCAUUGAUCAGAUGCAAGAGGAUUCCUGUGAGUGCAAGGAUUCAGUCUUUGCAACUGCAAUCAAUACCUAUGCAAAAGCGGGCUUUCUAAAUGAAGCCAUCUCUCUCUUCAAGAGCAUUCCAAAGUUCAAUUGUGUAAAUUGGACUGAAUCUUUUAAUACCCUUUUGCAAAUAAUGGUGAAAGAAUCUAUGUUUCAAUCAGCUCACAGUCUUUUCCUGGAUAACUCAUAUGGGUGGGAAGUGAAGUCUAGGGUUUGCUCCUUGAACUUGCUUAUGGAUGUUCUUUGUCAACAUAACCGCUCUGACCUUGCAUUGCAAGUCUUCCAAGAGAUGACUUAUCAGGGUUGCCACCCUGAUAGGGAUAGUUAUGAAAUUCUCAUGAGGGGUUUGUGUAAAGAUAGAAGGCUGAAUGAGGCUAUCCAUUUAUUAUAUUCAAUGUUUUGGAGGAUUUCUCAAAAGGGAAGCGGUGAGGAUAUUGUGAUAUAUAGAAUCCUUUUGGAUGCUUUAUGUGAUAAUGGACAGGUUGAGCAAGCUUUAGAAAUUCUCAACAAGAUCUUAAAGAAGGGGUUGAAGGCACCAAAACUAUGUUGCCACGGCCGUGAUCUGUAUCAAUGCAAUAGUGGUGAUGAUAUAGAAGCCGCUAAGCUUUUAAUUAAUGAAGCUUUAAUUAGAGGUGUGAUUCCUAGUCUGGGUAGCUAUACUGCCAUGGCUGUUGAACUUUACGGUGAAGGUAGGAUUAGUCUAGCUGAUAAAGUGCUUGAUGAAACACAGGAUAGAGGCUUUAGGCCGUCACUUUUAACUUAUGAAGCAAAGGUAUCAGCAUUGUGUAGAGAAGGUAGAGUUCAUGAAGCAGUUAAAGUAAUUGAGGUGGAGAUGAUGAAGGAAAAUUGUGUUCCAAAUGUAAGAUUGUAUAAUAUCUUACUGAAAGGCUUGUGUGAUGCAGGGAAUUCAGCAGCCGCUGUUGGGUAUUUGAAAAAGAUGGCUAAGCAAGUGGGUUGUGUUGCCAAUGAGGAGACCUAUUGCAUUUUAGUGCAUGGGCUAUGUCGAGAUGGUAGAUUUGUUGAAGGAAGUAGGAUUUUGGAGGAGAUGUUAAUUAAAUCAUAUCGGCCUCCCAUUGAUGCUCACAACGUGCUUAUACGAGGCCUUUGCUCCAUGGGCAGGCUAUAUGAAGCUAUUGUGUGGCUAGAGGAUAUGAUUAGCCUGGGUAGGUCACCAGAACCUUCUGUAUGGAACUCCCUGGUAGCUUCUGCAUGUUGCAACAUGGCUAACAUUGAUGUUCACAUUGAAGCGGCUUUGUAGUUCAUAGUUUAUAUUGGAGCAGCUGUUCAUGUGAAGUUCGCUCUGCUAAAUAACGGUUUUCUUCAAGUAUACAAUUGCCUAAUGAAUUCAUGGCUUUGAUUGUGAUUCAUAAUUUACUUGAAUCUCUGUACAGCUAAUGGCAAAAGCAUCUUAAAAAUGUUUAUUGUUAUUUAGUUAAUUUUUGUAACAAUAAUUAAUGUAUAUUCCUAUCUUUCAAAAAAAAAAAUUUAUGUGUAUGAACCGAACUGUGAAAGUGUAAAUUUCCCGAUCAGCAGAUGGCAAAUCUGUUUAUAUUAUGGAGCCU